UUCAAAGACCGAUGGACAUCAAGAACAGACCACGCAUUCCAAUUCCUGACGAGGAUCCCUACAGUAUUGCGAGCUCCAACGCGAACGGGUCGGGAUCCAGCGGCAGCUCUGGGGGGUACGGGCUUGGUAAUGGACACGUCAAUGGCCAUGGAGUGGUGGCCGCCACUAGAGAAGCAACCAAUGAUGCAGAUGGGUCAAAGGAGAGGCGAGAAACCCCAAUCUACCGCCGAGGGAGAAUGGAUACGGACCUGCUGAUAUUCCCAAGCCUGAUUACGACGAUAUUGAAACAAACGGCCGCGUGCCGGCGCAGUUCCCGCGUGGCAAAUCCGAUAAAGGCAAAGAGAAGAAAUACGAUGACCCCUACUACUGCGGCCUACGCGCACGCGUUCCGAACUUCGUGAAGGCGAACGGGCAAAAAGUUUUGCCGCCGAUGCCCGAGCGCCUCACUCUGAAAGAGGCGCCGGUGCCCAGCAAGCGUUACAGCGUGGCCCACCCGCACCCCGGCCCAUUCCCGCCACACAUGCCAGCGUUUGCCCACGCCCCGAUGCCGCCGGCGGCGUUGUGGCACGCGCGCUCUUACGAGAGCGGAAUCGACGGAGAACACUAUGACCCAUACGCGUUAUACGGCCGCCUGCCCAUGCCUGGACGUGGCUUCCCACCACCACCAGCCCCACACGCACGCCACAUGUUCAUCGGAGAGUGGGAUUAAAGUGCAACACCACAAACACGGCAAUACUACCCGAUAUUAGACUCGAUUUAAGAAUAUUGUCACAUCGAUGUUAGGAAAUAUUAAUGAAACAGUAGCUGUUGUAAAAAAUAUGUAAAUGAU
RNAcentral lists this unclassified non-coding RNA (829 nucleotides) under Manduca sexta (tobacco hornworm). RNAcentral describes it as "uncharacterized LOC119192261, transcript variant X1". The record is from RNAcentral. Lineage: Eukaryota; Metazoa; Arthropoda; Insecta; Lepidoptera; Sphingidae.